Molecule: long non-coding RNA, 335 nt
Filed under: Nicotiana benthamiana
Lineage: Eukaryota; Viridiplantae; Streptophyta; Magnoliopsida; Solanales; Solanaceae
Description: long non-coding RNA (NBEN_LNC005625)
Source: RNAcentral
ACAUCUUAGGCCGAUUAUUGGGGUUAGAUUGAGUGCACUGUAGAGCCACUUCAACUGUUUUCUCUAGCUCCUCUGUGUUAAAACAUCCCUUUAGAUCCCUAUCCACAAGCAUUUUCACUUUCUUUUCCUCAAAUAAAUUCCGGACCUGCAAAUUGGACGGGUAGUUGAGUGAUUAGUAUUAAAACAUCCUUUUAGAUCCCUAUCCACAAGCAUUUCCACUUUCUUUUCCUCGAAUAAAUUCCGGACCUGCAAAUUCGCCAGGUGGUCAGAGUGAGUGAUUAGUAAAUAUGACGGUCAAAAACCCGAAUAAGGUUUUCCAUAAGCCCAACAGAUCA